Molecule: unclassified non-coding RNA, 336 nt
Filed under: soil metagenome
Description: partial contains 5.8S ribosomal RNA, internal transcribed spacer 2, and large subunit ribosomal RNA
Rfam family: 5.8S ribosomal RNA (bases 1-120)
Source: RNAcentral
GAUGAAGAACUUAGCGAAAUGCGAUACGUAAUGUGAAUUGCAGAAUUCAGUGAAUCAUCGAAUCUUUGAACGCACAUUGCGCCCGCCAGUAUUCUGGCGGGCAUGCCUGUUCGAGCGUCAUUUCAACCAUCAAGCCCCCGGCUUGUGUUGGGGACCUGCGGCUGCCGCAGGCCCUGAAAAGCAGUGGCGGGCUCGCUGUCACACCGAGCGUAGUAGCAUACAUCUCGCUCUGGGCGUGCUGCGGGUUCCGGCCGUUAAACCACCUUCAUAACCCAAGGUUGACCUCGGAUCAGGUAGGAAGACCCGCUGAACUUAAGCAUAUCAAUAAGCGGAGGA